CCGCCCAGGCCAGGUUGCCUUGGAUGGAGCGGAGCUCGGCGAGCUCGUCCGGGGAGGGGGCGGCCGCCGCGGCGGCGCGCUCGGCGAGGCGACGGACGCCGGAGAGGACGGCCUUGGAGGCGGAGAGGGCGAGGGCGAGGAGGGAGGCGAGUGUCCGAGUGGAGUCGGAUAGGAGGGAGGAGGGCGAACGGGGGGUGACGGUGGCGCGAGCGCGGAGACGGAGGUCUCCGGGGCGCGGAGAGCGGUGGGGGAGGCGGAGCAGAGAAGGCGGUGGAGAGGGCCGGUGGCGGAGGAAGAGGGUAGGGUUAGGGCAUGGGAAGGCGGCGGUGGAGACGGCGGAGGCCAUUGUUAUGCUCGGGC
Molecule: long non-coding RNA, 360 nt
Filed under: Musa acuminata (dwarf banana)
Lineage: Eukaryota; Viridiplantae; Streptophyta; Magnoliopsida; Zingiberales; Musaceae
Description: long non-coding RNA (MACU_LNC009201)
Source: RNAcentral